GUCAUGGAAGGUGCCAUGCAACAUAUGCGCAAAACGUCACAAUAAUCACAUGACUACCGUCGGCACAGGACUUGGAGGCAUUCGGACCAGCGUUGGUUUCGGAAAUGGCCAAAGCCAAAGGAAAGCCGGUUGUGUUGAAGAAAGCGUCUACGACUUCGGUGUCGUCGGAGGAGUGUGACGCCCCAGAAAUACUUCUCAACACCAUUGCUCUGCGACGUACACCGGCGAGACACAACCUCGUCAUCAUCACAAAGGAUGACGACACGGACGAGGAGAAAGAGGAACAGGAUGAGAAGAAGGAGAAGUAAAUCAGUACAGGGAGGGAGAACCUAAAGAUCUGACGAUGUUAGCUGUAAUACGAGCAUAAUCAAUAAGUGCAGAUAAAAAUGACAAUUAUAAUGUAGCAUCACAACAUUGUUUAAAUCCUGUUUAUUUUUAUCUCAGCGAAACAUGUAUAAUACCAAUAGAGUAAAGUAUUGUCAUCCAAA
Mizuhopecten yessoensis (Yesso scallop) is the source of this 488-nucleotide long non-coding RNA. RefSeq lists it as uncharacterized. NCBI's taxonomy places the organism in Eukaryota, Metazoa, Mollusca, Bivalvia, Pectinida, Pectinidae. The record is from RefSeq and is a predicted model, not a curated record. The transcript has 2 exons.